This 911-nucleotide ribosomal RNA is filed under the name uncultured bacterium. Its description in RNAcentral is "bacterial SSU rRNA". It matches the Rfam family "Bacterial small subunit ribosomal RNA", at positions 10 to 919 of the family's 1533-position model. The record is from RNAcentral.
AGUUUGAUCCUGGCUCAGGAUGAACGCUGGCGGCGUGCCUAAUACAUGCAAGUCGAACGAAUCUCUUUUAGAGAUGAGUGGCGAACGGGUGAGUAAUACAUAGGUAACCUGCCCCUGUGCGGGGGAUAACAGGAGGAAACUCCUGCUAAUACCGCAUAGCCAUGAGCACCGCAUGGAGCUCAUGCCAAAUAUCCUUUAUGGGAUAGCGCAGGGAUGGACCUAUGGCGCAUUAGCUGGUUGGCGGGGCAACGGCCCACCAAGGCAACGAUGCGUAGCCGGCCUGAGAGGGCGGACGGCCACAUUGGGACUGAGACACGGCCCAGACUCCUACGGGAGGCAGCAGUAGGGAAUUUUCGGCAAUGGGGGAAACCCUGACCGAGCAACGCCGCGUGAGCGAAGAAGGCCUUCGGGUCGUAAAGCUCUGUUGUAAAGGAAGAACGGCGCAUACAGGAAAUGGUAUGCGAGUGACGGUACUUUACCAGAAAGCCACGGCUAACUACGUGCCAGCAGCCGCGGUAAUACGUAGGUGGCGAGCGUUAUCCGGAAUCAUUGGGCGUAAAGAGGGAGCAGGCGGCCGCAAGGGUCUGUGGUGAAAGACCGAAGCUAAACUUCGGUAAGCCAUGGAAACCGGGCGGCUAGAGUGCGGAAGAGGAUCGUGGAAUUCCAUGUGUAGCGGUGAAAUGCGUAGAUAUAUGGAGGAACACCAGUGGCGAAGGCGACGGUCUGGGCCGCAACUGACGCUCAUUCCCGAAAGCGUGGGGAGCAAAUAGGAUUAGAUACCCUAGUAGUCCACGCCGUAAACGAUGGUCACUAAGUGUCGGGGGUCAAACCCCGGUGCUGCAGUCAACGCAAUAAGUGACCCGCCUGAGUAGUACGUUCGCAAGAAUGAAACUCAAAGGAAUUGACGGAAG